CAUGCAAGUCGAGCGGUAGAGAGGUGCUUGCACCUCUUGAGAGCGGCGGACGGGUGAGUAAAGCCUAGGAAUCUGCCUGGUAGUGGGGGAUAACGCUCGGAAACGGACGCUAAUACCGCAUACGUCCUACGGGAGAAAGCAGGGGACCUUCGGGCCUUGCGCUAUCAGAUGAGCCUAGGUCGGAUUAGCUAGUUGGUGAGGUAAUGGCUCACCAAGGCGACGAUCCGUAACUGGUCUGAGAGGAUGAUCAGUCACACUGGAACUGAGACACGGUCCAGACUCCUACGGGAGGCAGCAGUGGGGAAUAUUGGACAAUGGGCGAAAGCCUGAUCCAGCCAUGCCGCGUGUGUGAAGAAGGUCUUCGGAUUGUAAAGCACUUUAAGUUGGGAGGAAGGGCAUUAACCUAAUACGUUAGUGUUUUGACGUUACCGACAGAAUAAGCACCGGCUAACUCUGUGCCAGCAGCCGCGGUAAUACAGAGGGUGCAAGCGUUAAUCGGAAUUACUGGGCGUAAAGCGCGCGUAGGUGGUUCGUUAAGUUGGAUGUGAAAUCCCCGGGCUCAACCUGGGAACUGCAUUCAAAACUGUCGAGCUAGAGUAUGGUAGAGGGUGGUGGAAUUUCCUGUGUAGCGGUGAAAUGCGUAGAUAUAGGAAGGAACACCAGUGGCGAAGGCGACCACCUGGACUGAUACUGACACUGAGGUGCGAAAGCGUGGGGAGCAAACAGGAUUAGAUACCCUGGUAGUCCACGCCGUAAACGAUGUCAACUAGCCGUUGGGAGCCUUGAGCUCUUAGUGGCGCAGCUAACGCAUUAAGUUGACCGCCUGGGGAGUACGGGCCGCAAGGGUUAAAACUCAAAUGAAUUGACGGGGGCCCGCACAAGCGGU
RNAcentral lists this ribosomal RNA (886 nucleotides) under Pseudomonas thivervalensis. RNAcentral describes it as "bacterial SSU rRNA". It matches the Rfam family "Bacterial small subunit ribosomal RNA", at positions 54 to 933 of the family's 1533-position model. The record is from RNAcentral. Lineage: Bacteria; Pseudomonadati; Pseudomonadota; Gammaproteobacteria; Pseudomonadales; Pseudomonadaceae.